GACGAACGCUGGCGGCGUGCCUAAUACAUGCAAGUUGAGCGCUGAAGGUUGGUACUUGUACCGACUGGAUGAGCAGCGAACGGGUGAGUAACGCGUGGGGAAUCUGCCUUUGAGCGGGGGACAACAUUUGGAAACGAAUGCUAAUACCGCAUAAAAACCUUAAACACAAGUUUUAAGUUUGAAAGUUGCAAUUUCAUCACUCAAAGAUGAUCCCGCGGUGUAUUAGCUAGUUGGUGAGGUAAAGGCUCACCAAGGCGAUGAUACAUAGCCGACCGGAGAGGGUGGUCAGCCAGCUUGGGACGGAGACACGGCCCAGACGCCUACGGGAGGCAGCAGUAGGGAAACUUCGGCAAUGGACGAGAGUCUGACCAAGCAACGCCGCGGGAGUGAAGAGGGUUGUCGGGUCGUAAAACUCUGUUGGUGGAGAAGAACGUGGGUGAGAGUGGAAAGCUCAGCAAGUGACGGUAACUACCCAGAAAGGGACGGCUAACUACGUG
RNAcentral lists this ribosomal RNA (497 nucleotides) under uncultured bacterium. Its description in RNAcentral is "partial 16S ribosomal RNA". It matches the Rfam family "Bacterial small subunit ribosomal RNA", at positions 28 to 507 of the family's 1533-position model. The record is from RNAcentral.